Molecule: ribosomal RNA, 495 nt
Filed under: uncultured Pseudomonas sp.
Lineage: Bacteria; Pseudomonadati; Pseudomonadota; Gammaproteobacteria; Pseudomonadales; Pseudomonadaceae
Description: bacterial SSU rRNA
Rfam family: Bacterial small subunit ribosomal RNA
Source: RNAcentral
AGAGUUUGAUCCUGGCUCAGAUUGAACGCUGGCGGCAGGCCUAACACAUGCAAGUCGAGCGGUAGAGAGAAGCUUGCUUCUCUUGAGAGCGGCGGACGGGUGAGUAAUGCCUAGGAAUCUGCCUGGUAGUGGGGGAUAACGUUCGGAAACGGACGCUAAUACCGCAUACGUCCUACGGGAGAAAGCAGGGGACCUUCGGGCCUUGCGCUAUCAGAUGAGCCUAGGUCGGAUUAGCUAGUUGGUGGGGUAAUGGCUCACCAAGGCGACGAUCCGUAACUGGUCUGAGAGGAUGAUCAGUCACACUGGAACUGAGACACGGUCCAGACUCCUACGGGAGGCAGCAGUGGGGAAUAUUGGACAAUGGGCGAAAGCCUGAUCCAGCCAUGCCGCGUGUGUGAAGAAGGUCUUCGGAUUGUAAAGCACUUUAAGUUGGGAGGAAGGGCAGUAAAUUAAUACUUUGCUGUUUGGCGUUCCGACAUAGUAAAGAGUAUAGUG